RNAcentral lists this ribosomal RNA (279 nucleotides) under uncultured bacterium. RNAcentral describes it as "partial 16S ribosomal RNA". It matches the Rfam family "Bacterial small subunit ribosomal RNA", at positions 506 to 784 of the family's 1533-position model. The record is from RNAcentral.
UGCCAGCCGCCGCGGUAAUACGGAGGGUGCAAGCGUUGUUCGGAAUUAUUGGGCGUAAAGCGCGUGUAGGCGGUUCGUUAAGUCUGAUGUGAAAGCCCGGGGCUCAACCCCGGAAGUGCAUUGGAAACUAUCUAGCUUGAAUAUGGAAGAGGGUAGUGGAAUUCCUGGUGUAGUGGUGAAAUACGUAGAUAUCAGGAGGAACAUCGGUGGCGAAGGCGGCUGCCUGGUCCAAUAUUGACGCUGAGAUGCGAAAGCGUGGGGAGCAAACAGGAUUAGAUA